AACGGCAAAAAUGUUGUUUAUGUUUUUCUCGCGUAGUGAGUUGUUUUCUUCGCGCUGUUCAAAAUCGUUUCGAAAAUUAAAGAAUACCAUUGGCACAAAUCGGACUCAAUAUCAAAUCAACUACGAGGAUUGCACCAGACUGACCGCGAAUCCCGAUGGUAGAACGACAAAAAAAUGCUUCCUCUUUCUAUCGUGACACUGGGAGCGUUUUUACGAACACCGGUUGUAUGGCAUGAAAUUCUUAUCAAUCCAGCGGGACAUCAAACAAGCCCGGAACACACAGAAGUUAUGUAGCUGCCCAAUCAAAAGGAAGAGUUACGACACGACGUUUGUUAUUCCCCUAGGAAGAUUCCGCCACGGGGCAAGCAAGAUUCCCAUAGUUAUCAUAAUUUGUGUUGCCUGCCUUAUUAUGAUUUUGAAGAAGAAUUAGGAAAUGCCUCGAGUUUUCAUUCAAUCUCAAGAAUCGAAAUCCUGCAUCGAAUUGAAUCGAAAUAUUCUCUUAUAAACAACCUGCGAAUUGAUCGGCCAGGGCUACAAAAAUUAUGUCGAUGGUUCUUUAACUGGCUUACGCAAUAAAUAUCACAUUUACUCUUAUUAUAUUGGGUAUCCAUAAUAAACUGAAUUGAACACUAAACACUGGAUGUAAUGUGGAAAUCCUUCUGAAGCUCUGGUAGCAUCUAAAGAGCCGGUUCAGCUGGGGGGUCAAAUUGGUCCAUUGAAGAGUUCGCCAUCGGGAUAAGUCAGUUCGGCUGGUGUUACCGAGAGAUCGAUGUCAUAUUGCCACUAGAAGAAACUGGUAACUUUCCGGCACACGAUUAUUCUACCAGAAUUAUUGCUCCGCCUUCGUUGCUGAAACAAAAAUGAAAGAACAAAUUAGUAUGUUAUUAAAAAAAGGAAAUCCAAGAAAUGAUAAAAGAAAUAAUUGAAAUAAUACAAUCUUUACUAACCUAUGGUUUGCACCUUCUAAGUCCCGCUCCGUUUGUAUUUUCCACCAAAUGCUGCUGUUCCGUGUCCAAAUGGAUUCACUUGUGGUUGAUCGUAUGUGGGGCUUGGGGACAGUCGAAACGGCUUUGAUCCUCCGGAACUAGGAUUCGUAGUAGUGGCCGGGAGUGGCGACCUAGAGGAAAUGAUUAACCGGAACCACGUACCGGCAGGGCAGGUACUGAUCGAUGGUUUUUUGUGCACCACAAGAAGCUCGAAAUCGCGAACAACUACACUCAGCCGAAAAGGAAACUUUAAAUUCACCUGGAUUUUCACGUAGGCACUCAUGGGUCGAUUCACGAUGACGUAUGUUCCCUUUUGUGGUGACAGUUCGCGCGUCCUGUUUACAAAAUUUUACGAACGAGAAAUGGGGUGCGGCGAAAUUUUUCGUGUAGCUGCACGGUCAACAAAUUUAACUUAAAACUCAGUUAAGGGAUAGCAAAAAACCAAGUUCUAUUUUGUUAAUUAAACUUAGCGCAUUUUUUGGUUUCUCAUGUUUAUCUUUUUGGAAAUGAACAGAAAGUUGAAAAUUCGUAAAAAUUUCGAAAAGAAGGUUUGUUUAUUAGAAUGUUUCAACAUGUUUUCAAAACCCUUCUUCAACACAUUUAUUCUGGACCAACCCAGUUUACAUUGAAUAUUCUAGGAAAGCGCGUCUACUUGAAACAUAAAACCCUAUCGAAUGUCCAAAUGUGGAAACAUCUAAGGAAUUCGAAUGUUUCGAAUCGAUUGUCCGGAAGCUUCAUGUGUUAUUUUUACUGGAAGCUGUGAACAAAUGCACAUACUUGUACGACAACAAAAUCCGUUGACAGAAGAAUCCAAUAUAGGAAAAUUCUCCACUAAA
Molecule: long non-coding RNA, 1822 nt
Organism: Uranotaenia lowii
Lineage: Eukaryota; Metazoa; Arthropoda; Insecta; Diptera; Culicidae
Exons: 4
Source: RefSeq, a predicted model, not a curated record